RNAcentral lists this ribosomal RNA (780 nucleotides) under uncultured Neocallimastigales. RNAcentral describes it as "partial large subunit ribosomal RNA". It matches the Rfam family "Eukaryotic large subunit ribosomal RNA", at positions 24 to 611 of the family's 3401-position model. The record is from RNAcentral. Lineage: Eukaryota; Fungi; Neocallimastigomycota; Neocallimastigomycetes; Neocallimastigales.
UAUCUCUGUAGAGUCUGCAUAUCAAUAAGCGGAGGAAAAGAAACUAACUAAGGAUUCCCUUAGUAACGGCGAGUGAAGCGGGAAGAGCUCAAAUUUGAAAUCUUCAAGGUUCUACCUUGACGAAUUGUAGUUUAUAGAAGUGUUUUCUGUAGUGGAGUUUGGCUAAAAGUUCUUUGGAAUAGGACAUCAUAGAGGGUGAGAAUCCCGUAUUUGGAUCAUUUCCUUCCUAGCUGUGUGAUACACUUUCAAAGAGUCGGAUUGUUUGGGAAUGCAGUCCAAAAUGGGUGGUAAAUUUCAUCUAAAGCUAAAUAUUGGCGAGAGACCGAUAGCGAACAAGUACCGUGAGGGAAAGAUGAAAAGAACUUUGAAAAGAGAGUUAAACAGUACGUGAAAUUGUCAAAAGGGAAGCGUUUGACACCAGUGUUGUUUUCUCGAAAAUCAAUUAAAAAUGGCGGGAUUUUGUGUUGUAUUGACUUUAUCAGCUUCCUGCACUUUUUUCUUGUCUUUUUUAAUGCACUUUUCGUUUAACAAGUCAACAUCAAUUUCUUUUGUUGUAAAAGGGUCAUUGGAAGGUGGCUUUCUUUUCGGAGAAAGUGUUUAUAGCCUUUGACUUCUGCAAUCGGAGAGAUUGAGGUCUGCAGCGUAGAUCCUUCGGGGUUAGAUGCAUCUGUGCUAAGUUAUAGCCUUUCAUAGACAACUUGUUGACUAUGAUCAGUCAUGUAGCUUACUCGCUUAUGUUAUUUUACCUACGCUUAGGAUGUUGAACGCGCACAGAGUCUC